Molecule: long non-coding RNA, 199 nt
Filed under: Brassica napus (rape)
Lineage: Eukaryota; Viridiplantae; Streptophyta; Magnoliopsida; Brassicales; Brassicaceae
Description: long non-coding RNA (BNAP_LNC001664)
Source: RNAcentral
ACAAACAGAUAUACGACCAUAUAUACGACCAUAUAUUAGUUAGUGGGUGCCAUUACAAUUUCUUUAUUGGUUUGUGAUUCUUUUUUUCUUUCUACAAAAGCUUAUAUUCUAAGAGUAUAUACACAAAGGGAUUCGAACAUAGGAAAUGCCUUUUUGAAUACACAUCAAGCACGGCUCUGUAUAUAUAUUGGAAGCUAGA